AUUGAACGCUAGCGGGAUGCUUUACACAUGCAAGUCGAACGAGUGGCGGACGGGUGAGUAAUAUAUCGGAACGUGCCCAGUAGCGGGGGAUAACUACUCGAAAGAGUGGCUAAUACCCCAUACUAUUGGAGCGGCCGAUAUCGGAUUAGCUAGUGGGUGGGGUGAGGGCUCACAAAGGCAAAGAUCCGUCGUCGGUUUGAGAGGGCGACCAGCCACAAUGGGACUGCGACACGGCCCAGAGUACUACGUGAGGCAGCAGUGGGGAAUUUUGGACAAUGGGGGAAACCCUGAUCCAGACAUCCCGCUCGUAUGAGAAGGCCUGCGGGUUGUAAAGUACUUUUGGCAGAGAAGCGGUAUCUGCAGAAUAAGCACCGGCUAACUACGUGCCAGCAGCCGCGGUAAUAC
RNAcentral lists this ribosomal RNA (405 nucleotides) under uncultured bacterium. RNAcentral describes it as "partial 16S ribosomal RNA". It matches the Rfam family "Bacterial small subunit ribosomal RNA", at positions 30 to 526 of the family's 1533-position model. The record is from RNAcentral.